ACCUGAAACCGUGUACGUACAAGCAGUGGGAGCCUCUUUAUGGGGUGACUGCGUACCUUUUGUAUAAUGGGUCAGCGACUUAUAUUCUGUAGCAAGGUUAACCGUAUAGGGGAGCCGAAGGGAAACCGAGUCUUAACUGGGCGUUAAGUUGCAGGGUAUAGACCCGAAACCCGGUGAUCUAGCCAUGGGCAGGUUGAAGGUUGGGUAACACUAACUGGAGGACCGAACCGACUAAUGUUGAAAAAUUAGCGGAUGACUUGUGGCUGGGGGUGAAAGGCCAAUCAAACCGGGAGAUAGCUGGUUCUCCCCGAAAGCU
This 316-nucleotide ribosomal RNA is filed under the name Citrobacter freundii. RNAcentral's name for it is "partial 23S ribosomal RNA". It matches the Rfam family "Bacterial large subunit ribosomal RNA", at positions 548 to 867 of the family's 2925-position model. Lineage: Bacteria; Pseudomonadati; Pseudomonadota; Gammaproteobacteria; Enterobacterales; Enterobacteriaceae. The record is from RNAcentral.